AGGGAAUUAGCUCAGUGGUUAGAGCGUUUGCCUUGUUGGUAAAAGGUCAUCGGUUCGACUCCGAUAUUCUCCACAA
This 76-nucleotide transfer RNA is filed under the name Faecalibacter macacae. RNAcentral's name for it is "tRNA-Thr". It matches the Rfam family "tRNA". Rfam says of the family: Transfer RNA (tRNA) molecules are approximately 80 nucleotides in length. The record is from RNAcentral. Lineage: Bacteria; Pseudomonadati; Bacteroidota; Flavobacteriia; Flavobacteriales; Weeksellaceae.